Molecule: long non-coding RNA, 330 nt
Filed under: Nicotiana benthamiana
Lineage: Eukaryota; Viridiplantae; Streptophyta; Magnoliopsida; Solanales; Solanaceae
Description: long non-coding RNA (NBEN_LNC040365)
Source: RNAcentral
GAAGAUCACAUUGAACAACCUGGAGAGUCACUCCACUCCUGACCUACACAUGCAUUUCCAGAACUCCACCAGGAUCUCGUCAGGUCCGGUCGCUCGACCCCUACUCAUCAUAUGCAAAGCCCCCAUGACCUCUUCAGCCAUAAUGCGCCUGCAGUACCCAAGGUCUCUAUGUUGCUCUGAAUGCCCCAACUCCCCUAGCUCUAUGUUACGAUCCCCCUCCUCGUUAAGUAAGUCUCGAAAGUACGCCUGCCACCUCUGCUUGAGUUGAGACUCCCCCAUCAAAACUCUACCAUCCUCUCCCUUGAUGCACCUAACAUGGUCAAGAUCACG